GACGAACGCUGGCGGCGUGCCUAAUACAUGCAAGUCGAACGAACUCUGGUAUUGAUUGGUGCUUGCAUCAUGAUUUACAUUUGAGUGAGUGGCGAACUGGUGAGUAACACGUGGGAAACCUGCCCAGAAGCGGGGGAUAACACCUGGAAACAGAUGCUAAUACCGCAUAACAACUUGGACCGCAUGGUCCGAGUUUGAAAGAUGGCUUCGGCUAUCACUUUUGGAUGGUCCCGCGGCGUAUUAGCUAGAUGGUGAGGUAACGGCUCACCAUGGCAAUGGUACGUAGCCGACCUGAGAGGGUAAUCGGCCACAUUGGGACUGAGACACGGCCCAAACUCCUACGGGAGGCAGCAGUAGGGAAUCUUUCACAAUGGACGAAAGUCUGAUGGAGCAACGCCGCGUGAGUGAAGAAGGGUUUCGGCUCGUAAAACUCUGUUGUUAAAGAAGAACAUAUCUGAGAGUAACUGUUCAGGUAUUGACGGUAUUUAACCAGAAAGCCACGGCUAACUACGUGCCAGCAGCCGCGGUAAUACGUAGGUGGCAAGCGUUGUCCGGAUUUAUUGGGCGUAAAGCGAGCGCAGGCGGUUUUUUAAGUCUGAUGUGAAAGCCUUCGGCUCAACCGAAGAAGUGCAUCGGAAACUGGGAAACUUGAGUGCAGAAGAGGACAGUGGAACUCCAUGUGUAGCGGUGAAAUGCGUAGAUAUAUGGAAGAACACCAGUGGCGAAGGCGGCUGUCUGGUCUGUAACUGACGCUGAGGCUCGAAAGUAUGGGUAGCAAACAGGAUUAGAUACCCUGGUAGUCCAUACCGUAAACGAUGAAUGCUAAGUGUUGGAGGGUUUCCGCCCUUCAGUGCUGCAGCUAACGCAUUAAGCAUUCCGCCUGGGGAGUACGGCCGCAAGGCUGAAACUCAAAGGAAUUGACGGGGGCCCGCACAAGCGGUGGAGCAUGUGGUUUAAUUCGAAGCUACGCGAAGAACCUUACCAGGUCUUGACAUACUAUGCAAAUCUAAGAGAUUAGACGUUCCCUUCGGGGACAUGGAUACAGGUGGUGCAUGGUUGUCGUCAGCUCGUGUCGUGAGAUGUUGGGUUAAGUCCCGCAACGAGCGCAACCCUUAUUAUCAGUUGCCAGCAUUAAGUUGGGCACUCUGGUGAGACUGCCGGUGACAAACCGGAGGAAGGUGGGGAUGACGUCAAAUCAUCAUGCCCCUUAUGACCUGGGCUACACACGUGCUACAAUGGAUGGUACAACGAGUUGCGAACUCGCGAGAGUAAGCUAAUCUCUUAAAGCCAUUCUCAGUUCGGAUUGUAGGCUGCAACUCGCCUACAUGAAGUCGGAAUCGCUAGUAAUCGCGGAUCAGCAUGCCGCGGUGAAUACGUUCCCGGGCCUUGUACACACCGCCCGUCACACCAUGAGAGUUUGUAACACCCAAAGUCGGUGGGGUAACCUUUUAGGAACCAGCCGCCUAAGGUGGGACAGAUGAUUAGGGUG
This 1489-nucleotide ribosomal RNA is filed under the name Lactiplantibacillus plantarum. Its description in RNAcentral is "bacterial SSU rRNA". It matches the Rfam family "Bacterial small subunit ribosomal RNA". Lineage: Bacteria; Bacillati; Bacillota; Bacilli; Lactobacillales; Lactobacillaceae. The record is from RNAcentral.